Molecule: long non-coding RNA, 301 nt
Filed under: Vitis vinifera (wine grape)
Lineage: Eukaryota; Viridiplantae; Streptophyta; Magnoliopsida; Vitales; Vitaceae
Description: long non-coding RNA (VVIN_LNC000859)
Source: RNAcentral
GUGGAAUAGAGAAAUCAUGGUCAGUGGGAAUUAUGGGAAUAGUGUGAGGUGGUGAAACUGAAGAGGAAGGAGAAGAUGAAGGGAAAACGUGUGAAGUAGGAGAAAUAAGGGUAGAGAAUUACCUGUCGAGGGAACGUUGCUGCCAGAGUCCAUGAGAGGAGAUUGUACACGAGCAAGGAACACAGUCUCAUCAAAGAUCACAUUUAUGGAAAUAUACACACGUCGGAAGGAACGAUCAUAGCAAUGAAACCCCUUCUGAUUAGAACAAUAACCAAUGAAAAUGCAUGGUGUGCUACAGUAA